Molecule: ribosomal RNA, 427 nt
Filed under: Stenasellus virei
Lineage: Eukaryota; Metazoa; Arthropoda; Malacostraca; Isopoda; Stenasellidae
Description: partial 16S ribosomal RNA
Source: RNAcentral
CCAAUGAAAUUUUAAUGGCCGCAGUAUUCUAACUGUGCAAAGGUAGCAUAAUCAUUUGUUUUUUAAUUGAAAACUUGAAUGAAAGAGUUGACGUAAAAUAAACUUUUUUUAAAAAAAAUUAAAUUAACAUCAAAAUCAAAAGGUUUUGAUAAAAUAAAGGGACGAUAAGACCCUGUGAAAUUUUACUUUCAAAAAAAAUUAUUAAACAUAAAUUUUUGUAGAAAGUUAAACUGGGGCGGUUUACAAAUUAAUCUUUUUCAAAAAAAAAACACAAAUGUUUAUUUAUAGAACUAAAAUUUUCAAAUUAAAUAAAUUACUCCAGGGAUAACAGCACAAUUUCUUUUUAUAGAUCGUAUAGAUAAAGAAGUUUGUGACCUCGAUGUUGAAUUGAAAACACAUAUUAAAGCAAAAAUUAUUAAUGUUAGUC